UCAGUCGACUCCUACGGGGAGGCAGCAGUGGGGGAAUAUUGCACAAUGGGCGCAAGCCUGAUGCAGCCAUGCCGCGUGUGUGAAGAAGGACCUUCGGGUUGUAAAGCACUUUCAGUCGUGAGGAAGGUAGUGUAGUUAAUAGCUGCAUUAUUUGACGUUAGCGACAGAAGAAGCACCGGCUAACUCCGUGCCAGCAGCCGCGGUAAUACGGAGGGUGCGAGCGUUAAUCGGAAUUACUGGGCGUAAAGCGCAUGCAGGUGGUUUGUUAAGUCAGAUGUGAAAGCCCGGGGCGUCAACCUACGGAAUUGCAUUUGUAAACUAGGCAGACUAGAGUACUGUAGAGGGGGGUAGGAAUUUCAGGUGUAGCGGUGAAAUGCGUAGAGAUCUGAAGGAAUACCGGUGGCGAAGGCGGCCCCCUGGACAGAUACUGACACUCAGAUGCGAAAGCGUGGGGAGCAAACAGGAUUAGAUACCCUGGUAG
RNAcentral lists this ribosomal RNA (481 nucleotides) under uncultured bacterium. RNAcentral describes it as "bacterial SSU rRNA". It matches the Rfam family "Bacterial small subunit ribosomal RNA", at positions 328 to 793 of the family's 1533-position model. The record is from RNAcentral.